Molecule: microRNA precursor, 188 nt
Filed under: Saccharum officinarum (sugarcane)
Lineage: Eukaryota; Viridiplantae; Streptophyta; Magnoliopsida; Poales; Poaceae
Description: miR167b stem-loop (sof-MIR167b)
Gene: sof-MIR167b
Rfam family: MIR167 microRNA precursor family
Source: miRBase by way of RNAcentral
AGUGGUGCACCACAAGUUGGUGAAGCUGCCAGCAUGAUCUGAUGGUGGUAUAUAUGAAUAUAUGAUGUCUUUACCUCUGAUCUCUCCCUGACUGUCACGGAUCCAUGAAUCCAGGAUGAGGGGAGGGAAGAAAGAGGGAUAAUGAGCAUCAGGUCAUGCUGUAGUUUCAUCUGCUGGUGGGAGCACAU